GACGAACGCUGGCGGCGUGCUUAACACAUGCAAGUCGAACGGAAAGGCCCUGCUUUUGUGGGGUGCUCGAGUGGCGAACGGGUGAGUAACGCGUGAGUAACCUGCCCUUGACUUUGGGAUAACUUCAGGAAACUGGGGCUAAUACCGGAUAGGAGCUCCUGCUGCAUGGUGGGGGUUGGAAAGUUUCGGCGGUUGGGGAUGGACUCGCGGCUUAUCAGCUUGUUGGUGGGGUAGUGGCUUACCAAGGCUUUGACGGGUAGCCGGCCUGAGAGGGUGACCGGCCACAUUGGGACUGAGAUACGGCCCAGACUCCUACGGGAGGCAGCAGUGGGGAAUAUUGCACAAUGGGCGGAAGCCUGAUGCAGCAACGCCGCGUACGGGAUGACGGCCUUCGGGUUGUAAACCGCUUUCGCCUGUGACGAAGCGUGAGUGACGGUAAUGGGUAAAGAAGCACCGGCUAACUACGUG
Molecule: ribosomal RNA, 468 nt
Filed under: uncultured bacterium
Lineage: Bacteria
Description: partial 16S ribosomal RNA
Rfam family: Bacterial small subunit ribosomal RNA
Source: RNAcentral